ACAUAUAGUACUUGGUUUGUCAGAGUGGUUGGUGAUAGGGUGACGUAUGUUACCAUGGGUGGUUGGAUGAUGAGCCAGGAUAGGAAUCCGAGUAUCUAGAACUCUUGGAUAGGGUGGUUUCAAGAAUCUUUGUUUGUAGGGCGGAAGAUAUGUUGAGUGAUUCUUUUCCUUUAGGAAUCGAGUUUGCUCCCACAAGUCGGAUUUAUUGUGUUUUCUUUCCCUCAUUUCUUCAUUG
RNAcentral lists this long non-coding RNA (235 nucleotides) under Elaeis guineensis (African oil palm). RNAcentral describes it as "long non-coding RNA (EGUI_LNC064210)". The record is from RNAcentral. Lineage: Eukaryota; Viridiplantae; Streptophyta; Magnoliopsida; Arecales; Arecaceae.